This 465-nucleotide ribosomal RNA is filed under the name Vreelandella stevensii. RNAcentral describes it as "partial 16S ribosomal RNA". It matches the Rfam family "Bacterial small subunit ribosomal RNA", at positions 338 to 795 of the family's 1533-position model. Lineage: Bacteria; Pseudomonadati; Pseudomonadota; Gammaproteobacteria; Oceanospirillales; Halomonadaceae. The record is from RNAcentral.
CCUACGGGAGGCAGCAGUGGGGAAUAUUGGACAAUGGGCGAAAGCCUGAUCCAGCCAUGCCGCGUGUGUGAAGAAGGCCUUCGGGUUGUAAAGCACUUUCAGUGGGGAAGAAAGCCUUGGGGCUAAUACCCUCGAGGAAGGACAUCACCCACAGAAGAAGCACCGGCUAACUCCGUGCCAGCAGCCGCGGUAAUACGGAGGGUGCGAGCGUUAAUCGGAAUUACUGGGCGUAAAGCGCGCGUAGGUGGUCUGAUAAGCCGGUUGUGAAAGCCCCGGGCUCAACCUGGGAACGGCAUCCGGAACUGUCAGGCUAGAGUGCAGGAGAGGAAGGUAGAAUUCCCGGUGUAGCGGUGAAAUGCGUAGAGAUCGGGAGGAAUACCAGUGGCGAAGGCGGCCUUCUGGACUGACACUGACGCUGAGGUGCGAAAGCGUGGGUAGCAAACAGGAUUAGAUACCCGUGUAGUC